CUACGGGAGGCAGCAGUGGGGAAUAUUGCACAAUGGGCGAAAGCCUGAUGCAGCGACGCCGCGUGAGCGAAGAAGUAUUUCGGUAUGUAAAGCUCUAUCAGCAGGGAAGAUAAUGACGGUACCUGACUAAGAAGCACCGGCUAAAUACGUGCCAGCAGCCGCGGUAAU
RNAcentral lists this ribosomal RNA (168 nucleotides) under uncultured bacterium. RNAcentral's name for it is "partial 16S ribosomal RNA". It matches the Rfam family "Bacterial small subunit ribosomal RNA", at positions 339 to 524 of the family's 1533-position model. The record is from RNAcentral.